Molecule: long non-coding RNA, 699 nt
Organism: Paramacrobiotus metropolitanus
Lineage: Eukaryota; Metazoa; Tardigrada; Eutardigrada; Parachela; Macrobiotidae
Exons: 4
Source: RefSeq, a predicted model, not a curated record
UGAAAUAGACCUGGUAGGGCAGUUCUUUGCAGAACAUCGGGUUUGGCGUGUAAUAAGGAGCGUGAAAGUACGAGUGCUUAAUAACCUUUUUUUAAAAAUGUUCACAGACAGUGCUCCGUUAAUCCUUAGUUUACGCGCCUUAUGCUUGUACACUUAUUUUAUAGAGAGUUACUGUGCGGAAUUACCGACAGACUGGCAGAGCAGAAUAGAUCUAUCGGUUAAUGAAUCAACAGAACCGGAAACUGGAGAUGACAUCAUUUGGGACGAUGGGGGGUAUGCCCUGCUCGCAUCCGCGGACGUGGAUGAGACAGACCACCGGGUUUCGUUCAGUUAUUGGCCUGAUAGCGGGAAAGGUGUUCCUUACUUCAUACAUCCAGCUUUUGGUGACGCGGAUCGUCAAAAAAUUCUGAAAGCUUUGCGAACCAUAGAGCGUUGAGUAGAUAAUUGUGUACAGUUCAAAGUACGUGCAAAUGAAGAGGAGCACAUUUCAAUCGUGCCAUAUGGACGAGGUUGCCUGUCUCACGUGGGACGGACUCCUCGCCGCGUUACCGAGGUCCGACUCAGCAGGAACUGCAUGAAAGAAGGCAUUAUUAUGCACGAACUUCUACAUGCACUCGGCUUUUACCACGAGCAAAACCGGCCAGAUCGGGAUGAGUUUGUGCAGGUGUACCCUGAGAACAUACAACCAGAAAUGUACGA